RNAcentral lists this ribosomal RNA (274 nucleotides) under uncultured bacterium. RNAcentral describes it as "partial 16S ribosomal RNA". It matches the Rfam family "Bacterial small subunit ribosomal RNA", at positions 523 to 796 of the family's 1533-position model. The record is from RNAcentral.
AUACGGAGGGUGCAAGCGUUGUUCGGAAUCACUGGGCGUAAAGGGCGCGCAGGCGGUUUGGUAAUUCAGAUGUGAAAGCCCACGGCUCAACCGUGGAAGUGCAUUUGAAACUGCCAGACUUGAGUACCAGAGGGGAAAGUGGAAUUCCCGGUGUAGAGGUGAAAUUCGUAGAUAUCGGGAGGAAUACCGGUGGCGAAGGCGACUUUCUGGCUGGAUACUGACGCUGAGGCGCGAAAGCGUGGGGAGCAAACAGAAUUAGAAACCCCAGUAGUCC